Molecule: ribosomal RNA, 102 nt
Filed under: Agrocybe chaxingu
Lineage: Eukaryota; Fungi; Basidiomycota; Agaricomycetes; Agaricales; Agrocybaceae
Also listed under: 1 other name
Description: partial small subunit ribosomal RNA
Source: RNAcentral
AAAAACUUUUACAAUGUGACGCAAAACUUAGCUUCUGCUAAUUGUUAGUUAGAGCUAAAAGGUUUAGCUAAUCAAUAAAAAAAGUUAUUUUUAUUAUUUUUA